Molecule: long non-coding RNA, 2625 nt
Filed under: Linum usitatissimum (flax)
Lineage: Eukaryota; Viridiplantae; Streptophyta; Magnoliopsida; Malpighiales; Linaceae
Description: long non-coding RNA (LUSI_LNC005362)
Source: RNAcentral
GCAAAAUUACUCUGAUCAAGUUUGUUACAAAAAUGUUCAAGUCAAACAUGUUUGCAUCACAUGAACCUACUCAAUCGUAGUGUGUAUGAGUGUUCUGCUACCAAAUGCCAGAAGGCACAUAAUUGUUUAUAAAUCGUGGUACAUCCGACCAGGAGUGGUAAUUGCAAGGAAAAAAAUUAAAAUAUGAACAGACACCUUCCUUGAUACAGAAUUCUCGCAUAACUCCAUACAGCUCACUGUUUGACGAACUAAAUGCGAAAAAAAAAACAGAUUGAAGAAGGGAUGCAAGCAAGUGAGUGCCAUCCAUCAUUUUAGCAGCAAAUCUCUGAGCUGAAAAGGUACGGAAAUGGUGGAAUUUCAUCUUUUUCAGCCAACCCUUCCUUCCUAGUAACAUAAUUCUCCCAUCGGAACCCAGAGGGGCCAAUUUAAAGGCAUAGGUGCUAGGAGGGUCCCUAACUUUUGACCUUGCAGCAUAAAAAGUUGCUUUGUAAGAGAUCAGUCCAAGAAAAGGGGUUAGGAUUGAAUUUUGUAUACAUAUAACUAAAAGCUAAUAAUGUUCAGUUCAAUACUUGCAGGCUGCAGCAGCUUCAGAGUACAAUAUAAAAGGUUCAAUACUUGAGAAAUUUUUAAGAGUAAGAGAAAUCCACUACAUCUGACAUUAUUCUACAUUCCCCUCCAAAGCCAUUUUGCAUACUGUACCAAAUGGCUUAUGCUAAUCAUUAAAUCUGAGGCCUCCGUAGUGUAUUAAUGGCCAUACCAAAACUUGCAUCAUCAUAUUCAUUGUCAUUAGUCUUUUAAUUCCUUCAGCUUUAAAUGUCAAAAAUGGGUUGGCCAAGGUCGGCGGCCAGCCGUGUAGGUCUUUUGCCCUUUCUUUCUUACUUAAUAAAAGGAACAAGUUUUCUCAUCUAAAUAUGCAGAUAAUCUUUUAUAGAACAAAAGUGUUAACCUAUGCAGUCAAAGCAUUUACUUGCAUGAGAGAAAUAUCACUAUGCCUUUUUGACAACUAUUUACACAGAUAAGCAAUAAGAGAGAGAGAGAGAGAGAGCUUCCCUAUCAUGACUUGAAUUCAAUCUACUAACAGUCGGAGUCUAAUGCUAGUUGUUUUCUACAUGAUCAGCGUCAAACAACCUUGUUACGUUAAGAGUAUAAGUCAAUAUGUCAUGUAACAGUAACACAGUUUUAACACUAUUACUUAAGUUAGAUGUGUUAUGUUUAUCAAACUUAAGUAAGAAUAUGAACAACUACUUAACAUUAGCCUUGCGAGAUGAACUUGUAAAGAGGAAAGUGGGAGAGAUCAGCUCAACAUAUUUGUUACCAUGUUACCUUGGUUUAUAAAAGAUGCGUUUUACAAGAUUUUGCCAAUUGGAGCUCUAAAUGAUAAACCAGAGCUUGCCGACACUUGACUUCAAUAAGUUAGAAAUUAAACCCUUUAAAUACCAGAGACACAGAACAAAAGAAAGAAAAAGGGGCUACGUGGUGCCGGCGUGCAUUCCAUUGCGGCCAAUGUAUCUGUUUUGGAUGACAAAUGUCCUCCCAUUCACUUCUAUGAACAAAAUAAGACUUGCACUUUAAGGGAAAUAAUAUUAGUAUAAGAGGUCCACCUUGGCAAAAGUAGCAGCCCCUCUUAACACUGUUAAAAGAAAGGGAAGGCGGGACAUGUGAUCAUAAUCACUAUAUUAUGUUUAUUUCUGAAGGGUGUACUUUUUCAAAUUUGCAUUUAGGUGUUUUCCUUUCAGGUGAAUUCUUUACAAUCUAUAUUUGGUUUGGUUUGGUUUGGUGAGAGGAAUGUGCUAAACUAAGUGUUGCAAUUAGAGCUGAGAUGGGGAACAGUAACACCUCUGGGUUUCAAGGUAUGUAAUUAUGGCAGGGGAUUCCUUUAUUUUUUCCUAUUUUUCAUACUUGUUUCCUCUCUGGUUGGCUCAUGAAUGGUGGCUGAAGAUGCAGCAGAAGAAAAUUCUAACACAAAGAUUGAAGGAACUCAACCAAAAUCUGUGCAAGAACAUGAUGAGCAAGAAGGUACAAGAGGACACUUUGUUGAUCAAAGUGAAGGAAGUGAUGAAAAUGGAGGAAGAAUGUUAGGUUCUGAGGAUCCAAAGGAAGAGGAGGGAGCAAAAGCCCGGAAUCGAGAUGGAAAAGGUUCGGUUUGCUAAUAUACCUAAUGACAACAACUUUAUUUUGGUAUAAAGUUGUGUUGAUUAGUUUAUCCUGGCAAUCAAUAUUUUUUCAGUUGUUUCAGAGCAAGAGAAUGAUAGGCUGGAGAGCCAAGUUCAUGAUCUUAUGUCUGUCGAAUCUGAGGAACCAAAGCCCGAAUAUGAAGAAGAAAGAAGUAAAGACAGUAAUCCUCAACUAAAUAUUGUGAGGCAACAAACAGAAGAAAACAAGUCUGAUUCUAUGGAACAACCAGAAUCUAGUAAGCCAGGUUAACCAACUAAACUUCACAAUCCAUGAACAAUCAUUUCUUCUUAAACGAAUCAAUACGAUCAUUAGUUUUGAGCAGGAAGAAUGAAGCUUACCUAUUUAUCUGCAGCAGAGGAGGUGGAGGAGACGUUGAGCUCAGGUUCAACUGUUAGAUCCCAUGCACAUGAUGAGCAAGAACAUCAAGGUUCUGAUGAAGUAGAAUCAAAC